CAGCUCAGCCACUGGGUUCCAAGAGGCAGUGUCAUGUUUGCAAAUGCAGAAGAACGGCAGAUCUCCUAAGGUCCGGAUUCCAUUGGUCAGAACAGAUCACAAGUCCAGCCCAGGUUCAAGAGGAAGUGACUCCACCUCCUGGUGGCAGGACUAGCAAAGGAUUUGCAGCCGCCUUUAAUCCACCAGAGUGUUCUGAUGCCAGAAAACCCUCCUGUCUUCCGUUGUGCAAAGUCUCUCUCCACAUGAAGAGGCCCAGAGGCCCGGGACCUUGGAUCCCUAGCCUUACUUGGAAUGGCCAUGGGGCUAGAGACCUACACAUCUUUGUUGAUAUUAGACGUGAGGGACAGGGAAGUUAAGUGCGUUGCCCAGUGUCACACAACAGAAGCCACUAGGCUGGUGGUGAUCACUGACAGCUGGGCUAGGUGCUGGGGCUCAGCGGUGCUUGAUGAAUGAAUGAAUUGGAAGUCCUUGUUCUGUACGGAUUGUUUUUAAGAGAGUUUAUUCUUUUAGAAGCGGUUUUAGGUUCACAACAAAAUUGACCGAAAGGCACAGAGAUUCCAUUUAUACCCCCGUCCCCACAUGUGGAUAGCCUUCCCCAUAUCCACAUUCCCCACCAGAGUGGUACAUUUGUUAUAAUUGAUGAGCCUAUAUUAAUGCAUCGUUAUUACCCAAA
This is a long non-coding RNA of Lynx canadensis (Canada lynx), 673 nucleotides long. RefSeq lists it as uncharacterized. Lineage: Eukaryota; Metazoa; Chordata; Mammalia; Carnivora; Felidae. The transcript has 2 exons. The record is from RefSeq and is a predicted model, not a curated record.